Molecule: long non-coding RNA, 238 nt
Filed under: Vigna radiata
Lineage: Eukaryota; Viridiplantae; Streptophyta; Magnoliopsida; Fabales; Fabaceae
Description: long non-coding RNA (VRAD_LNC006976)
Source: RNAcentral
UGCGGGUUACAUCUCCAUGCUUUAACCUCACACACAUGAAAAUAAUCAAGACUUUCUUUUUCUAUUACACUACUUGUCAAGACUUCUUAAUCAAUGAAUUUUGCUUAAUACAUCUUUUGGUUUCACUAUUUAUAGCAAUUGUUUAAUGUUUUCUUCUCAAUUUUUUUCACUGAAUAUGGCCAUAAUAUAUAUUAGAAUAAGUUAUGUGAUCUUUUUCGUUAGAACAUCAUUAGCGUUG